CAAGCCCCUGCUCUUUUAAGCACCGUCUUAUCAACGGCUUGGUCGAUUGUAAGUGUUCGGUGCAGAGACUGUAGACUUGAGACAAUGACAUGGAGGUAAGUAUGUAUAAGAACAACGUUUUCAAGCAUAUAGGCAGAUUCGAGCUGGGGCUUUAGUCGGAAAAAUUUGUUAGCUUAAACAUACGGGAUUCACUGAAGCAUGACUGGAGCGAGCUCUCCUAAGCUCAGUCAGCGCCCACCCCCUCCUAAUGUAAAAUUCUGGAUCGGCCACUGAAUAUUGGUUUUAACAGUGCGAUGGAAGUCUUCAAAUGAAUAAAAAAAAAAAAUAAAAAAUAAUGAAAGUCUUUGUGCUGGUUAUUUACAUACGGGAACGA
RNAcentral lists this long non-coding RNA (373 nucleotides) under Mytilus galloprovincialis (Mediterranean mussel). Lineage: Eukaryota; Metazoa; Mollusca; Bivalvia; Mytilida; Mytilidae. The record is from RNAcentral.